Molecule: transfer RNA, 61 nt
Filed under: Ictidomys tridecemlineatus (thirteen-lined ground squirrel)
Lineage: Eukaryota; Metazoa; Chordata; Mammalia; Rodentia; Sciuridae
Description: Spermophilus tridecemlineatus (thirteen-lined ground squirrel) tRNA
Rfam family: tRNA
About the family: Transfer RNA (tRNA) molecules are approximately 80 nucleotides in length.
Source: Rfam by way of RNAcentral
UGUGGCUUAGUGGUAGAGUGCUUGCCUAGCAUGCCCAAGACCCUGGGUUCAAUUCCCAGCA